This is a long non-coding RNA of Biomphalaria glabrata, 803 nucleotides long. RefSeq lists it as uncharacterized. The transcript is spliced from 2 exons. The record is from RefSeq and is a predicted model, not a curated record. Lineage: Eukaryota; Metazoa; Mollusca; Gastropoda; Planorbidae.
UUAACACCAGACUGGUGAAAUGCUUAUAGAAUUCGAUACAUGUGCAGUGACAGCAAACUGUCAAGACAAUGAUGCUAGACUAACUUUAAUCAAGGAAAUAACAUUUUACCUUGCUAUAAAAUGAGUUGAGCUCUAUGUAAGGUAGGCAUCAGUCUCUGAAGCUGGAAACACACAACAGUGUUAUUAAACUACGACAAGCUAAUAAAAAAAAAGAUGUUUAACGUCAUCAGCCUUGUCCUCAUGAGCCUCGCUCUUGGAACAGUCUUGUGUUUUGCUCCCAGUGCAGCUGAAACCGAGGAAGACUUUGCCAGGCGUACUCUUUCCCCAAAUCUGGCCGGAUCUUUGCGAUUAGGAGCUGGUACUGUUGGUGGUCUCCCAUUACUUGGCGGUCUAUCAGGAAACAUAAACAGUGUCUCUGACUUGCUUGGGGAUGUUCCGUUUGCUGGAGGGCUGUUACAGAAUCCUUUAAAUAACGCGAUCAAUUCACUUCACAGUGUAGCCAGUAGUAUACCUGUUGCAGGUAAUGUGCUGGGCACUGUUCAAGGUGUAGCCAGUGGUAUACCUGUUGCAGGUAAUGUGCUGGGCACUGUUCAAGGUGUAGCCAGUGGUAUACCUGUUGCAGGUAAUGUGCUGAGCGCUUUUUAAGGUCUGAGCGAUGCAAAUGGACUCCUUGGUAGUUUUUUUAUAACAGUAAUUCAUGUAGAGAAAAAAAAAAGUUCUUCACCAUAAAUAGAUCCAAUUAGAAACUGUACUGUGGCGCUACUAGCAUGCAGACUAAAAUAAUAAACCAUCAGAUAAUAUCA